GCUUACGGCCACACCGGCCUGGGUACUCCUGAUCUCGUCCGAUCUCGGAAGCUAAGCAGGGUCGGGCCUGGUUAGUACUUGGAUGGGAGACCGCCUGGGAAUACCAGGUGCUGUAAGCU
Molecule: ribosomal RNA, 119 nt
Organism: Oncorhynchus mykiss (rainbow trout)
Lineage: Eukaryota; Metazoa; Chordata; Actinopteri; Salmoniformes; Salmonidae
Source: Ensembl